RNAcentral lists this ribosomal RNA (199 nucleotides) under uncultured bacterium. RNAcentral describes it as "partial 16S ribosomal RNA". It matches the Rfam family "Bacterial small subunit ribosomal RNA", at positions 336 to 526 of the family's 1533-position model. The record is from RNAcentral.
CUCCUACGGGAGGCAGCAGUGGGGAAUUUUGGACAAUGGGCGCAAGCCUGAUCCAGCCAUACCGCGUGAGUGAAGAAGGCCUUCGGGUUGUAAAGCUCUUUCAGCCGGAAAGAAAUCGCGUUGGUUAAUAUCCAGCGUGGAUGACGGUACCGGAAGAAGAAGCACCGGCUAACUACGUGCCAGCAGCCGCGGUAAUAAU